Molecule: ribosomal RNA, 439 nt
Filed under: uncultured bacterium
Lineage: Bacteria
Description: partial 16S ribosomal RNA
Rfam family: Bacterial small subunit ribosomal RNA
Source: RNAcentral
CUACGGGGUGCUGCAGUGAGGAAUAUUGCACAAUGGGGGGAACCCUGAUGCAGCAACGCCGCGUGGAGGAUGACGCAUUUCGGUGUGUAAACUCCUUUUAUAUGUCAAGAAAAUGACGGUAGCAUAUGAAUAAGCACCGGCUAACUCCGUGCCAGCAGCCGCGGUAAUACGGAGGGUGCAAGCGUUACUCGGAAUCACUGGGCGUAAAGGACGCGUAGGCGGGUUGGAAAGUCAGGUGUGAAAUCCUACAGCUUAACUGUAGAACUGCACUUGAAGCUUCUAAUCUAGAGUAUGGGAGGGGGAGAUGGAAUUAGUGGUGUAGGGGUAAUAUCCGUAGAUAUCACUAGGAAUACCUAAAGCGAAGGCGAUCUCCUGGAACAUUACUGACGCUAAGGCGUGAAAGCGUGGGGAGCAAACAGGAUUAGAUACCCUAGUAGUC